RNAcentral lists this ribosomal RNA (462 nucleotides) under uncultured bacterium. RNAcentral's name for it is "bacterial SSU rRNA". It matches the Rfam family "Bacterial small subunit ribosomal RNA", at positions 1 to 516 of the family's 1533-position model. The record is from RNAcentral.
GCCCUUAGAGUUUGAUCAUGGCUCAGGAUGAACGCUGGCGGCGUGCCUAAUACAUGCAAGUCGAACGAGUGGCGGACGGGUGAGUAACACGUGGGUAACCUGCCCUUAAGUGGGGGAUAACAUUUGGAAACAGAUGCUAAUACCGCAUAGAUCCAAGAACCGCAUGGUUCUUGGCGAAAGAUCGCUUUUGGAUGGACCCGCGGCGUAUUAGCUAGUUGGUGAGGUAACGGCUCACCAAGGCGAUGAUACGUAGCCGAACUGAGAGGUUGAUCGGCCACAUUGGGACUGAGACACGGCCCAAACUCCUACGGGAGGCAGCAGUAGGGAAUCUUCCACAAUGGACGCAAGUCUGAUGGAGCAACGCCGCGUGAGUGAAGAAGGCUUUCGGGUCGUAAAACUCUGUUGUUGGAGAAGAUGACGGUAUCCAACCAGAAAGCCACGGCUAACUACGUGCCAGCAGCC